AUUGAACGCUGGCGGCAGGCCUAACACAUGCAGGUCGAGCGGAUGAAGGGAGCUUGCUCCUGGAUUCAGCGGCGGACGGGUGAGUAAUGCCUAGGAAUCUGCCUGGUAGUGGGGGAUAACGUCCGGAAACGGGCGCUAAUACCGCAUACGUCCUGAGGGAGAAAGUGGGGGAUCUUCGGACCUCACGCUAUCAGAUGAGCCUAGGUCGGAUUAGCUAGUUGGUGGGGUAAAGGCCUACCAAGGCGACGAUCCGUAACUGGUCUGAGAGGAUGAUCAGUCAAACUGGAACUGAGACACGGUCCAGAAUCCUACGGGAGGCAGCAGUGGGGAAUAUUGGACAAUGGGCGAAAGCCUGAUCCAGCCAUGCCGCGUGUGUGAAGAAGGUCUUCGGAUUGUAAAGCACUUUAAGUUGGGAGGAAGGGCAGUAAGUUAAUACCUUGCUGUUUUGACGUUACCAACAGAAUAAGCACCGGCUAACUUCGU
Molecule: ribosomal RNA, 483 nt
Filed under: uncultured bacterium
Lineage: Bacteria
Description: partial 16S ribosomal RNA
Rfam family: Bacterial small subunit ribosomal RNA
Source: RNAcentral